UACAAUUGUAGAGGUGCAAAUACGAUAAGUACUUUUUCUGAGUGGAAAACGAUGAGGAAAAAUGAAAGGUGUAUUUGCCGAAAUCAAUCAGGCGUCAUCUUGGUUGGUUGGGGUCGUUGCCGAAAGGGACGACACUGUCGCAGUUUUGAUAUUCUUUGUAUCACUGCGGAGUGCUACUGUAAGU
Non-coding RNA from Haemophilus parahaemolyticus HK385, 184 nucleotides. Lineage: Bacteria; Pseudomonadati; Pseudomonadota; Gammaproteobacteria; Pasteurellales; Pasteurellaceae. The record is from Rfam.